CCCCGCCACACAAACAAAACCCCGGCGCGAGACGCGCCAAGGAAUCAAAAACGAAAAGAUAGGGAACGGGCGGCCCGUCGAGUGCCGGAGACGGAUCUCUCGCGGGCGGCCCCUUCUCGUUCGGAAACAAAACGACUCUCGGCAACGGAUAUCUCGGCUCUCGCAUCGAUGAAGAACGUAGCGAAAUGCGAUACUUGGUGUGAAUUGCAGAAUCCCGUGAACCAUCGAGUCUUUGAACGCAAGUUGCGCCCGAAGCCUUCGGGCCGAGGGCACGCCUGCCUGGGUGUCAUGCAUCGUCGCCCACCCCCAUUAUCGGGACGGGCGGAGAAGGGUCUCCCGUGCGCUCCCGCUCGCGGUUGGCCAAAAUACAAGUGGUUGGCGGCCGAUAGCGCCACG
This 396-nucleotide ribosomal RNA is filed under the name Passiflora actinia. Lineage: Eukaryota; Viridiplantae; Streptophyta; Magnoliopsida; Malpighiales; Passifloraceae. The record is from RNAcentral.